GUAUAUUAACGUUGUUGCAGUUAAAAAGCUCGUAGUUGAAGUGUGGGUGAUCGCUGUUGUGAGACUUCGGUCUCUCGACAGUAAGUCACCCCCUUCCAGUAUCCAGUAGUGGGUAUUCAGUUACUUACUAUUGUGUGUUGGUCCUUUACUGUGAGAAAAUUAGAGUGUUCAAAGCAGGCGUUUGCUUGAAUAGAUUAGCAUGGAAUAAUAAUUGAAGGCUUUCGUGUUCGAUUUGAUUGGUUUGUUCAUGGAAGCAAGGUUAAAAGGAACAGUUGGGGGUAUUCAUAUUCACUAGUUAGAGGUGAAAUUCUCGGAUUUAUGGAAGAUGAACAAGUGCGAAAGCAUUUACCAAGGAUGUUUUCAUUAAUCAAGAACGAAAGCUAGGGGAUCGAAGAGGAUUAGAUACC
This 407-nucleotide ribosomal RNA is filed under the name Blastocystis hominis. RNAcentral's name for it is "SSU rRNA". It matches the Rfam family "Eukaryotic small subunit ribosomal RNA", at positions 599 to 1016 of the family's 1831-position model. The record is from RNAcentral. Lineage: Eukaryota; Bigyra; Opalinata; Blastocystidae.